This 692-nucleotide long non-coding RNA is filed under the name Mus musculus (house mouse). RNAcentral's name for it is "predicted gene 11851". The record is from RNAcentral. Lineage: Eukaryota; Metazoa; Chordata; Mammalia; Rodentia; Muridae.
GGGAGAUAUAAAAACAAGGGAGAUAUAAACAGGGGAGAUAUAAACAGGGGAGAUAUAAACAAGGGAGAUAUAUGGAGAAAGAAGAAACAGGACUGAAUAAAUGUGUGCAGAAGGAUCCUGUAGCAGCGUUGUUCUUCCUGGCCAGUUGAGCGCGCGCAACAAGUGGUGCCGAAACCCGGGAAAAGAAACAUCUUCAGGCAUGAGCGAAGACCCCCUGUUACAGGGAGGAUUCAGAACUGCAUCACGGGGAAGGAGUGGUUAAUAAAGGUUCUCGUAAAACAGACUGUUGAGAAGGAUCCGGCGUGGAUUCAGAACUCUUCAGCUGGGGAACGGUACUGAUGAAGAGAAAGAAGAGAGAUGAAGACUGAAUAAACUGUUGUUAGAAGGACUGGUGGUCGUGUCGUUCUUGCUGGUCGAGAGCGGGCGCGACAAUUGGUGGCCCAUACGGGGAACCGACUCCCCCACUGAGUUCAGAACUUUCAGCAGUCAGUGGUUGCAGGCAGGGACCAGACGGAACCUCUUUGGGUGCCGGAGAGAUUGGUGAGACGCUGCAAGAAUGAGGCUCCUGAUCCAGUUGCCCCUGUGGAUGUGGUGGAUGAUCCCACAAGCACAAAGGAUGGAGCCGAGAUGAGAGAUCCUUUCGGUAUUCCAGAAGCCGAUACCAGCUCGACAUGACAUUCAAAUUUUUCCAC